RNAcentral lists this ribosomal RNA (1305 nucleotides) under Glugea gasterostei. RNAcentral describes it as "SSU rRNA". It matches the Rfam family "Microsporidia small subunit ribosomal RNA". The record is from RNAcentral. Lineage: Eukaryota; Fungi; Microsporidia; Glugeidae.
ACCAGGUUGAUUCUGCCUGACGUGGAUGCUAGUCUCAUAGGUUAAGCCAUGCAUGUGCAAGCGAAGCGUAAGUGGAGCGGCGCAAGGCUCAGUAACGGGCGAGUAUUUGAUCUCCUAGAGUGGAUAUCCUCUGUAACCGGAGGCAAAACACAAGAUGAGCGAUUGACGAGGUCGUUCGUCUAACGAAUAGUGUAGGAGAGUAAGAAGCCAUCCCAUCAGUUAGUAAGUAGGGUAAGGGCCUACUUAGACGAAGACGGGUACGGGGAAUUAUCGUUUGAUUCCGGAGAGGGAGCCUGAGAGACGGCUACCAGGUCCAAGGACAGCAGCAGGCGCGAAAAUUACCGCAGCCUGCAUUCAGGGCGGUAGUAAGGAGACGUGAAAACAAUGUGCGGGCAAAAAACGCACUAGAUACAGGAGGACAAGACUGGUGCCAGCACCCGCGGUAAUACCAGCUCCUGGAGUGUCUAUGAUGAUUGCUGCAGUUAAAGAGUUCGUAGUCGAAGUGGUUAUAACGGUGUAACAGGCCUUCUCUCAAGGAGGGUUAUGCGCCGUGAUUCCAUGGAAUAAGGAGCGUUUAGGGGCCAGGUUAUUAAGCGACGAGGGGUGAAAUCUGGUGACUCGCUUAGGAGCAACAGAGGCGAAAGCGCUGGCCAGGAGCGAAUCCGAUGAUAAAGGACGUAGGCUAGAGGAUCGAAGACGAUUAGAGACCGUUGUAGUUCUAGCAGUAAACGAUGCCGAUACCGUGGUGCGGAUACGCGACGCGGAAGAGAAAUCGAGUAGGGCCCUGGGGAGAGUACACGCGCAAGCGAGAAAUUUAAAGGAAAUUGACGGAAGAACACCACAAGGAGUGGAGUGUGCGGCUUAAUUUGACUCAACGCGGGACAGCUUACCAGCCCGACGGCCGGACGAGUGUUGUACACGAUAGGUCGAAGAGUGGUGCAUGGCCGUUAACGACGAGUGAGGUGACUUUUGGGUUAAAUCCGGGAAGUAGUGAGACCCCUACCGAAAGGGACAGGUGCCGAAAGCACAGGAAGGAAGGGUCAAGAACAGGUCAGUGAUGCCCUCAGAUGGUCUGGGCUGCACGCGCACUACAGUGGUCAUAGAAAUGAAACGAUAGAAUUAAAGAUGAUCGAGAGGGAAUGAGCUUUGUAAGAGGCUCAGGAACGAGGAAUUGCUAGUAAUCGCGGACUCAUUAAGACGCGAUGAAUACGUCCCUGUUCUUUGUACACACCGCCCGUCGUUAUCGAAGAUGGAGUCAGGCGCGAACAAGCGAGAGCGAGUGAGUGCAGGAUUCUAGAUGUGAUA